UAAGGAAUUUUGGACAAUGGGCGCAAGCCUGAUCCAGCAAUGCCGCGUGCAGGAUGAAGGCCUUCGUGUUGUAAACUGCUUUCGUACGGAGCGAAAAGGUCUGCCCUAAUACGGUGGGCUCAUGACGGUACCGUAAGAAUAAGCACCGGCUAACUACGUGCCAGCAGCCGCGGUAAUACGUAGGGUGCGAGCGUUAAUCGGAAUUACUGGGCGUAAAGCGUGCGCAGGCGGUUAUGCAAGACAGAUGUGAAAUCCCCGGGCUCAAUCUGGGAACUGCAUUUGUGACUGCAUAGCUGGAGUGCGGCAGAGGGGAGUGGAAUUCCGCGUGUAGCAGUGAAAUGCGUAGAUAUGCGGAGGAACACCGAUGGCGAAGGCAAUCCCCUGGGCCUGAACUGACGCUCAUGCACGAAAGCGUGGGGAGCAAACA
RNAcentral lists this ribosomal RNA (427 nucleotides) under uncultured bacterium. RNAcentral's name for it is "bacterial SSU rRNA". It matches the Rfam family "Bacterial small subunit ribosomal RNA", at positions 355 to 774 of the family's 1533-position model. The record is from RNAcentral.